UACGUAGGGGGCAAGCGUUGUCCGGAAUCAUUGGGCGUAAAGCGCGUGUAGGCGGCUCGAUAAGUCUGCUGUGAAAGUCCAGGGCUCAACCCUGGGAUGCCGGUGGAUACUGUCGAGCUCGAGUCCGGAAGAGGCGAGUGGAAUUCCUGGUGUAGCGGUGAAAUGCGCAGAUAUCAGGAGGAACACCAAUGGCGAAGGCAGCCCGCUGGGACGGUACUGACGCUGAGGAACGAAAGCGUGGGGAGCGAACAGG
This 253-nucleotide ribosomal RNA is filed under the name uncultured bacterium. RNAcentral describes it as "partial 16S ribosomal RNA". It matches the Rfam family "Bacterial small subunit ribosomal RNA", at positions 524 to 776 of the family's 1533-position model. The record is from RNAcentral.